This 833-nucleotide ribosomal RNA is filed under the name uncultured bacterium. Its description in RNAcentral is "bacterial SSU rRNA". It matches the Rfam family "Bacterial small subunit ribosomal RNA", at positions 40 to 879 of the family's 1533-position model. The record is from RNAcentral.
CGGCAGGCUUAACACAUGCAAGUCGAGGGGUAUGGUUCUUCGGAACCAGAGACCGGCGCACGGGUGCGUAACGCGUAUGCAAUCUGCCUUUCACAGAGGGAUAGCCCAGAGAAAUUUGGAUUAAUACCUCAUAGUAUAGCGACAUCGCAUGAUGAUGCUAUUAAAGUCACAACGGUGAAAGAUGAGCAUGCGUCCCAUUAGCUAGUUGGUAAGGUAACGGCUUACCAAGGCAACGAUGGGUAGGGGUCCUGAGAGGGAGAUCCCCCACACUGGUACUGAGACACGGACCAGACUCCUACGGGAGGCAGCAGUGAGGAAUAUUGGUCAAUGGGCGCAAGCCUGAACCAGCCAUGCCGCGUGCAGGAUGACGGUCCUAUGGAUUGUAAACUGCUUUUGCACAGGAAGAAACACUGAUUCGUGAAUCAGCUUGACGGUACUGUGAGAAUAAGGAUCGGCUAACUCCGUGCCAGCAGCCGCGGUAAUACGGAGGAUCCAAGCGUUAUCCGGAAUCAUUGGGUUUAAAGGGUCCGUAGGCGGUCUGGUAAGUCAGUGGUGAAAGCCCAUCGCUCAACGGUGGAACGGCCAUUGAUACUGCUGGACUUGAAUUAUUAGGAAGUAACUAGAAUAUGUAGUGUAGCGGUGAAAUGCUUAGAGAUUACAUGGAAUACCAAUUGCGAAGGCAGGUUACUACUAAUGGAUUGACGCUGAUGGACGAAAGCGUGGGUAGCGAACAGGAUUAGAUACCCUGGUAGUCCACGCCGUAAACGAUGGAUACUAGCUGUUGGAAGCAAUUUCAGUGGCUAAGCGAAAGUGAUAAGUAUCCCACCUGGGGA